RNAcentral lists this ribosomal RNA (433 nucleotides) under uncultured bacterium. Its description in RNAcentral is "partial 16S ribosomal RNA". It matches the Rfam family "Bacterial small subunit ribosomal RNA", at positions 29 to 507 of the family's 1533-position model. The record is from RNAcentral.
AACGAACGCUGGCGGCAUGCCUAACACAUGCAAGUCGAACGAGACCUUCGGGUCUAGUGGCGCACGGGUGCGUAACGCGUGGGAACCUGCCCUUAGGUUCGGAAUAACUCCCCGACAGGGGUGCUAAUACCGGAUAAUGUCUUCGGACCAAAGAUUUAUCGCCUUUGGAUGGGCCCGCGUUGGAUUAGCUAGUUGGUAGGGUAAAAGCCUACCAAGGCGACGAUCCAUAGCUGGUCUGAGAGGAUGAUCAGCCACACUGGGACUGAGACACGGCCCAGACUCCUACGGGAGGCAGGAGUGGGGAAUAUUGGACAAUGGGCGAAAGGCUGAACCAGCAAGGCCGCGUGAGUGAUGAAGGCCUUAGGGUUGUAAAGCUGUUUUACCCGGGAUGAUAAUGACAGUACCGGGAGAAUAAGCUCCGGCUAACUCCGUG